GACGAACGCUGGCGGCGUGCCUAAUACAUGCAAGUAGAACGCUGAAGGAGGAGCUUGCUUCUCUGGAUGAGUUGCGAACGGGUGAGUAACGCGUAGGUAACCUGCCUGGUAGCGGGGGAUAACUAUUGGAAACGAUAGCUAAUACCGCAUAAGAGUAGAUGUUGCAUGACAUUUGCUUAAAAGGUGCACUUGCAUCACUACCAGAUGGACCUGCGUUGUAUUAGCUAGUUGGUGGGGUAAGGGCUCACCAAGGCGACGAUACAUAGCCGACCUGAGAGGGUGAUCGGCCACACUGGGACUGAGACACGGCCCAGACUCCUACGGGAGGCAGCAGUAGGGAAUCUUCGGCAAUGGACGGAAGUCUGACCGAGCAACGCCGCGUGAGUGAAGAAGGUUUUCGGAUCGUAAAGCUCUGUUGUAAGAGAAGAACGAGUGUGAGAGUGGAAAGUUCACACUG
This 457-nucleotide ribosomal RNA is filed under the name Streptococcus pneumoniae. Its description in RNAcentral is "bacterial SSU rRNA". It matches the Rfam family "Bacterial small subunit ribosomal RNA", at positions 28 to 471 of the family's 1533-position model. The record is from RNAcentral. Lineage: Bacteria; Bacillati; Bacillota; Bacilli; Lactobacillales; Streptococcaceae.